This is a non-coding RNA of Acanthosepion pharaonis, 110 nucleotides long. The record is from the annotation of a GenBank genome assembly. Lineage: Eukaryota; Metazoa; Mollusca; Cephalopoda; Sepiida; Sepiidae.
UACGACUAUAUCACGUUCAAAAAACCGGUUCCCGUAGGAUCAACGAAGUUAAGCAACGACGAGCCAGGUCAGUAUUUAGAUGGAUGCGCACUUGAGAAUACCCAGUGAAG